GAUGAACGCUGGCGGCGUGCCUAAUACAUGCAAGUCGAGCGAACGGACGAGAAGCUUGCUUCUCUGAUGUUAGCGGCGGACGGGUGAGUAACACGUGGAUAACCUACCUAUAAGACUGGGAUAACUUCGGGAAACCGGAGCUAAUACCGGAUGAUAUUUUGAACCGCAUGGUUCAAAAGUGAAAGACGGUCUUGCUGUCACUUAUAGAUGGAUCCGCGCUGCAUUAGCUAGUUGGUAAGGUAACGGCUUACCAAGGCAACGAUGCAUAGCCGACCUGAGAGGGUGAUCGGCCACACUGGAACUGAGACACGGUCCAGACUCCUACGGGAGGCAGCAGUAGGGAAUCUUCCGCAAAGGGCGAAAGCCUGACGGAGCAACGCCGCGUGAGUGAUGAAGGUCUUCGGAUCGUAAAACUCUGUUAUUAGGGAAGAACAUAUGUGUAAGUAACUGUGCACAUCUUGACGGUACCUAAUCAGAAAGCCACAGCUAACUACGUG
Molecule: ribosomal RNA, 497 nt
Filed under: uncultured bacterium
Lineage: Bacteria
Description: partial 16S ribosomal RNA
Rfam family: Bacterial small subunit ribosomal RNA
Source: RNAcentral